This 42-nucleotide transfer RNA is filed under the name Panthera spelaea (Eurasian cave lion). Its description in RNAcentral is "partial tRNA-Tyr". The record is from RNAcentral. Lineage: Eukaryota; Metazoa; Chordata; Mammalia; Carnivora; Felidae.
GGUAAAAUGGCUGAGUAAGCAUUAGACUGUAAAUCUAAAGAC